This is a non-coding RNA of Taeniopygia guttata (zebra finch), 15179 nucleotides long. NCBI's taxonomy places the organism in Eukaryota, Metazoa, Chordata, Aves, Passeriformes, Estrildidae. The record is from RefSeq and is a predicted model, not a curated record.
UCCUGCUGGGAAAGCAGAGAGGGAUCCUUCACCAGGAACUGCAGAGACAGGGCAAGGAGUAUAAACUGAAAGAGGGGAGAUUUAGGCUGGGUAUUUUGGGAGAAAUACUGUACUGUGAGUAUUGUGUGGUGAGACACUGGAACAGGCUGCCACUCUGCCUCCCCUCAUGCAGGGAGGGGUUGGGAUUAGAUGGUCCUUAAGAUCCAUUCCAACCCCUCAGCAUCCUAUGAUGCUGGAAUUCUUCAUUAGCUUAGCACACAUUUCAAAGUGCAGUGGGCUGUUUCUGUUUCACCAUUUUGGUUAUGCAAGAUCAUAAGCUGCUUUAUGAAUUAUAUUAUAAAAGCACGUUCAUUCUUAAGUUGCAAUUACAUAGAAAAUGUGAAAUCAAAUCAGAAUGCUGGGGUUUGCAGUCAGAUUAGCAGAAGUACAGACAUCUCUAAGACAGAUAGCACCAGCAGGGCCAAAAGCUGCAAAUAGGUCCAGUUCCUUGGAGUUAACUAAAUGUCAGUAGUAAAUUCAGCCACUGUUUGAAAAGGAAUUUACUUUUUCUGUGUUUGUUAGAGAAAGGUUUGUGGCUGCCUGUAUGACUGCUUCCUUACUCACAUCACCAAGAAUCCUUCAUUCUCCAUUUUUUUCAUGCAGAGGCAAAAUAAAAUCCUGACCUAGUUCUCUCCUGAAAGAAGGUUUGCUGCCCUUUGUGCGACAUCUGAUCACCCGAGGCAAAGAGAGGGCAGAGAUGAAGAGUGAACAGAAUUACCAAAGCAAUGUUCUUGCCACUGAAAAGAGGGGUACUCUCCUGCUAGCCAUCACAGAAAUGGUGCAGGGAGAACAAGGGGUUCAUUCUGAAUGCAGAACAGCAGUAAUGUCAAGAUCCAUUAAAGCUUCGCCAAGAACAGGAAAAUCUCACAUAGAGAAUCCCCAACAGUCUCCCACUAGUGAGGCAUGACAUCUUCACAACUUGGAAUAGAAUACUUAAGUUUUUUGUACAAGUCUUACAUUUUCUGAGGAUAAUUCUCCACACCUGUCAUCCUGGCUUCUGAUAGCAAAGUCAAAGAUUCUCAGAAUAAUACUUCAGAACACAUUAAAGGAAGGAAAUAUCAUUAAGAAAAUGCCCAACAACUGCAGUGUUUGAAAGAAACUAUUAAAAAGAAAGUCACUGUGUAACAGAAAUGUACAAAAGCACAUCUUGAUCCCCAUUCCAAGUACCUGGAGCUCAGUUGUAUCAAUCUAUCAGGAAGACUGUGCCUAAAAAUUCAUAACUUGGGAGUUACUUACAGCUUACAAAAAUUCCAGGUGAGCAAAACAGAAGAGUAAUUCCAACUUUUUUUAGUAGCUUCCAUCAGAAGUGAGAACAACAGAAAAGAGAUGUUUGGCCAGGAUGAGAAGAGGACAAGGAAGUAGAAGGACAAAUUAAUCUCUUUUGAGAGCCACUAGAUUUUUGGUGGUUAAGACUCUCUAACCCUUCUUCUGUAUACAUUAAUCUCUUAAAGAUAUCUUACAGAAGCAGCUUUAAUCUUUCAGUAGAUGCUGAAAAUGAACAAGUGUGUUGUCCUUGCUGCAGCAGAGGACUAAGACCCACUAAUAAGAAGAAAUAUAGUCCAUGGUGUUUCUGUGACUGAACAUUUACAGUGACAGAAAGGAUAUAAAUAAAGCCUGAGGAUUUCCUUCCAUCCUUCCUUUUUAGUUUACUUUGUGGAAGCACAGAACUAUAAUCCUCUUAUUCAGAAGGACAAAAGGGAAAGGAAGACAAAUCUUUAGUCCAACUCCCCACCUUUAUUCCAUACACAGGAGCUAUACUAAUUUAUUCCCUUGGCUUUGACCUUUCCAAAGGAAAUAGUCUUACUUUGCUCCAGCAUUUAUCACUGGGCCAAAAUGUCAGCACUGUCAGUGGUGUUUUUGAACAGUACUUGUAACAAUGGCUUGCAUGCAGUUCUGGAAAUGGAGAUUCUGAUAUGCUGGUGGAUGGAUGCGGUAUCUCCUCAAGGGGCACAAACAAAAUGGAAUAUCACAAUCACUUUUCCCCAGUACAAAGACUCACAACUUGAUUAGAAAAAAGGUCAUGGAAGGCUUUUAUUGCUAAAUAUAUUAUGUUUGUGAAGGCAGUAAAGGCAGCAGCAAGUUAGCAUAAAUAGGUUUUCUUUACCUGUACUGUGAUUCUGACAAUUUUCCUACCUAUUUGUUUUUCUUGCACUUUGUACUGAUUUGUUCAAUAAUCUGAAUGGCUGUUUUCAUCUGAAGCACAGUGCAUUAUCAAGACUGCCUUGUUUUUUCCUUCUUUUCAAUUAAUUGUCUGAAGUCAACAUACUGGGUGUUCUGAUGAAAACAACACAGACUUCACCAACCAAAAGAGGCAUUUCCCAUGUUAGCAGUCACCUUGCAUACCACUUAAUGAGGCACCUAUAUUAUGACCAGCAAAACACUUAUCUAUUCUAAUUGAGCUGUAAAAAGACUGUGCUUUAUAUAUAUACACACAUAUAUGGUAAGUAUGUUUUGUGGUUUGUCACCGUCAGUAACCUUGUCAAUGUACUGGUAAUGUGGUGUUUUAUUCCUAAGUCAGAACAGAAAAGAAUUUGAAGCAAAAAUUGCUGCAAAGAUUUAAAGCAGGUAACAGAAUUUGUCUCACAGGAAAAACAAAAGAAAAGAGAUUAAGAAACUGGGGACAGGAAGGAGAUAUCAACCAGCCUGUUGUUUUCCCCAUGUGAAUUAAUGAGGGAUUAUGAUUGUUCUUAAAAGAUUUAAUUCCAACUUGUUGGGUUACUGUAAUUUUAUCAUUCUCUAAUGGAUUACCAUUUCUUGAAGUGAGUGUGAUACUGGAAUCCACUUCUACUAACUUAACACUAGUUUGACUAGGGUGGCUCUCCCUGGAGUCAGACAGGGCAGGUUGAACCAGUUUCAGUCAGUUCCUCAUGUCUGAAAUUAGGCCAGACUCGAUUGCUUAUGGACCCACUGUCAGGGUCUAUUUGUAGUCACAUCUUUUUGAUAUACUAAAUCAUUCUAAGAUUGAGUAUAAGUAUGACUAUGCUAAAAUAUAUUAGAUAUAUGUCCUAUAACUUAAUUGCUAGGAGAUACAGCCUAUUUUUAAUUCUCUUGAAUCUUACCUCUUCCCUGGGUAGAGCAUGCAUUCUUCUAUGUACAGAGUCCUCUAAAAAUUAAAAUCUACUCUCAGGCAAACAGAUGCCUGGUGACUGACUGAGGAAAAAAAGGUAUGAAAAUAAUUGAAGUUUGUAUUGCAGUUUGCCACAGAGCAUCAAUACCGUAAUUUGAGUUAUUUAAGCACCUUUGCAUAAGGAUACUUUUUAUUUCACUGCUGUCCACAGGUUAUGUUCUCAGAAGGGACAUGUUUUAAUCAAUAGAGCCCCAGCAUUACCAGCAUUGUGGUAAGAUUCUGCAGCAUCUGCUUUUUUCAAGGUCCAUGAACAUAUUGCAGAAAGCUUCUGUGUGUCUCUAGGGACCCUCUCCAUCCUCAUCCCCACAGUCUUGGUGCUACUCUGUCUUUAUGGGAUGCCAACAACUUCUUUCAGCCAUCAAAGUGCUCGAAGCAGGGCUGAAGUUAAUAGCUCAGACCAUGCACACUAAUGGUUCUUAGUAAAUUGAUAUGUUAUUAUUGCUUAAUUUUGGUAAACAUUCUUACGGGAAAGUAGUGUCUCAAUUGCAGCCCAUCUAAAAUAAGCUCAUUUAUGCUAAUGUCUUUCUCCUUGACACUCAGUAAAUUCUUCCUAAUGCAUUAAUUAUGACUCCAGAUAGACCAAUGAUUAUUUCAUAUAUGCUAAUUAGGAAUCAUUUUAUUCAGUCUGCCACACAUAUCAGUAAACAUGUGGAAUGAAUUUCCCACAGGGAGGAUAAAAAGACAAUGAUUUUCCUUCCAAUGAAGCUUAGAGAAUUUACCCCACAAACAAGAUAUAAUUAGAGAGAAAGGAGGACUUAGAAAAAUACACUUACAGGUGUGAGAGACACCAAAAACAUGUUCUUUCUCAGUGAUAGAAUAAAGCAGAUUCUUAGCUAAUUCCUUAGCCAAAAUCUCAUUCUCAGUCAAUGAAUUUUUACUAUAUAUGAUUAGGCAGUGCAACCACCUUCUACAAAGUAAAUAAAAAUUACCAUCAAAUUAGUACCAUUUGUAGCAGAACAAAUUGAUAUCCAAGAAAAGUGUAAUUUUAGCCCUAGUUGUGGAAGAGAUAGAAGUCUGAAGAAAAGUGUGUGGCAUAUCACUGUCAUGUGCAUGCAUUGAAUGUCAAGGUUAAAACAUGGUGUAGAGAAGUUUUUGCUGCUAAUACAUGAUCUUACUGCUACUAAAUCCCACAAUUCUACAGCUGGAUAAUGUAUGCCUCUUGUUCAUGACUGCUGUAUUACUAAUAAGGAUGUCUCCACAAAAACAUAAUUUCAGGCUUAAAACCAACCAAAGAGAAACACAAAAUGAAUUAUAAGAAGUAACAUCACUUAACAUACUGUUAAGCACAAACUCUUAGAACCUCAUGACAUAAAUGAUAAUUUAUUACAGGAUGAAAACUGGCAAUUUUUAUGUGCAGGUCAGAUCUCUAAAUAUAUAUAUAGGGUUAACUUGGAGAAAAAAAUUAUUGUGUGUGGAUAUGACAAUUUUUACUUGAUUUUUCUUUUCAUGUGUUACAUCAAGUUAACUCUUUAUAAGUUUACACUCAGGGCCUAGAGUUCUGCCAAGUACAUUCUAAAAACAUGAAUAAAUACUAUAGAAGGCUACAGUCUAAAUUCAGUUACCAAUUCUGGUGCAUGAGCAAAAAAAUUUGGUCUUCCAAAAUCAGCUGUUUCUGUAUUUGAAGGUUGACUGGUUAAUAUAGAUCUAAGAGUAACUUGUAUAAAUCAGAAAAUAUCAAAGGCUGAAUGAACAGGCUAUAUAUGGUUCAGAAACAAAUAAUUACUCUGAAGGCAUCUACUUUUUGGGAUAUGCCAUUUUUCUAUAAAUUCUCUUUCAAUUGUAAGCAUAGACCUACAUUAUAAAAAAAAAAAAAAAAAAAAAAAAAAAAAAAAAAAAGAGUGAGAAAUUGCCUUUGAGAAAUCCACAGCUAAUUCUGUUGUGAAUCCUGUGACUGCAGAAGUGGGAAGGACUGCACUGUCCUAAGAGAGACACGUACUAUUGCCUGCAAGGAAACAAAGUACAAAUAUUUACCUUAAUUAUUCUAAAGUCUGAGAGUGUUGGGAUGAAACCUGGGCCAGUGUCUAGAAUCUAAAAAAGUGAAUGUCAUCCUACAAAGAUCCCAAGGAAUAUCAAUGAACCUUAUAACAAAUUAAUGCUGUCAGAUGUACUUUUGUGUGUUAGUUAGGCUGAAUAAAAUGAAAGCACCUUUCCUUAGGCAGAUGAAUUGAAACUUAGAGUGACUAUAAAUUAAUGCACAAAUUAAUGUAAAAUUAAUGUAUUCUUAAUACUUAAGAAUAUGUUGGUUCUGGAUUUUGUGUUUCACAGCAGUGAGCAGUCCAUAAAAGCUGUUGGUUUGUGUUUGUUGUUUUGUUGAGGUUUUUUACUUUCCUGGUUUUAUUUUUUGGGAAUUUGAAGAACAGUUUUGAUCAACUGAGACACAGAAAAUAUAGUAGUGAAGAUAUGCCAUCAAGAGUAAACAUCCUUGUGUGAAAUCAUCCCUCUACAUUCACACUACUAUGUUCACAUUUUUUUCAAGCAAGGCAGGUCCUAACCUUAAGGUUCAGCAGGCAUACAAAAUUAUUCCUAAUCAAGGUAAAAAAAGGGCUGAACUCUGCUAGUGACUCUCUGAAAUGUUAAGGGGAAAAAGUCUAGGAUUAUUAAAAUUAACAUCAGUCAGCUUAGACAGAAAAUCCUUACCUGUCCAGUUAGAUUGCUCAGCCAUUCAGACCCCUGCAGAUAAGGGCUACUUACAGGCUGUUUAAACUCUGCUACACUUCUAAUGAAUGCAGAAUGGAUGAGUUAGCAAAGCAAGAACCUUGGGGAAAAAAAUAGGAGAAAAUGUAAAUUCUAAUUUCAUUCAUGUACUUCAGUGUAUGGGGGCUGAUAUGCAGUUGAGUGGUUGCUGCAGUUUAUGGAAAAGGUAAUGAAACAUCAGAUGGGUACUGUUCAACAGCAUUACCCAUAACAAUCACAUUGUAAGCUAUUUGCAGCUUUAAAUACAUAAAUAUAUUACAGCUAAUGGAUAUGUGUUUACAGCAACACAGCAAGGUUAUUUUGCCACUAUUUUUUUAAAGAGAAGAAAUUGAAAUACUGUUACUUGCUUACUGUGUUGUUUAAAAGGGAGACCAUUCCCUUAACGUUAAUUUAAACCAAAUUAUGAAGAGAAAAGUUAAACUCUUGUACAAUGUAUUGAAAGUUGAUUAAAUUGUAAUGAUGGUCCCUUGCUGGUAGUAGAGCAGUAGCACGCUUCACUAGCUUUUCAAUACACUACCUUAAUAUUCAGAUAUAUCUGUCUCACAAAACAUCAAAUGAAACCCCAUGUAAAUCCAAAUUUUUACUGAUUUUUAGUAUACAGAAGUAGGGGAAAUUUCAAUGAACUCUUUUUUUUUUUUUUUUUUUUUUUUUUCCACAGUAUGGACAUUAAAUCCUCACCCACAUGGUUGAUCCUGCAAGCACAAGAGCAUCUGCUUGGAGGAACAGUAGGAUAGGCACAGUUUGCUACUGACUCCACUGUCCUCUGCAGCAUUUCACACCUCUGGGGGUUUCAGGAUUCCCUCAGGUAGAGAAGCAGUGCUGAAGCAGGAAGAGGAAGCAGUAAGUCAGGUAAUGAAAGCCCAUCUGAACUGGUGAGAGCUAGAAAAAUCAGAAGCUUAAAGGUAAGUGCAUUAAUAACCUCUAAGUGAACACUAUGGGUAUUUUAAAUCCAUAGUGUGAUGGAUGUGGGCAUUACUUUUAGUAAUACAAUUAUAACAGCAAGGAUUUUGAAAGGAGAUUGAUGGAUUUAGGAACCCCUUAUAUUUGUCUACUAAGUCACCCAGAGCAUUUCAACACAUUAAUGUUCAUAGCUGAUAUAUAAAGUCAUAUUUGUUAAACUUGUUUAUAUUUUAUCCUCGUGAAGUGCAUGCACAUAGAACAAAAUCAGUUUUGAAACUCUGUCAUUUCAACAAUAUCCACUAGGGUUUUUUUUUCCACAAUGUUUCAAAAAGGAAUCUAAAUAACACAGAGGUCCAUUAAAGUGUUCAGCAUCUCUGAACAAGAAAGACAAAUCCUCCUCUAUAUAUAAUUUCAGCCUCUAAAAACUUAAGAAUAAACAACAGGAAAGGACAAAAAUCCAUGCCUGCGUGCUGGAUUCAGGGGCACAUCUGUAGGAGCAUGUGCACACUGUGGGGCACCUACUUAAUUUAAUUAGGUACACUGUACUAGCAAACUAUUUCUGCCUGAGAAAUUACAGAAGCCUUUGAUCUACGAUUCCAAGCAAAAGGGAAACAAGCUUAUUGCCCACCAGGCAAUUCCUACACUGUCCUGUGCUUUCCACAAAACCCCAGUCAGGUCAGCCUUUGGAAAAGGAAUAUACCUAGGCUGCAGGAGAGAGAAUUAUGAAGAGCAUUCCUCAGAAGGCAGUUUAUCAACAGAUGGCUUGUGGGGCUUGCAGCCCAUGCAAAAGGAACAAACAUUUCCCUUGUGAUUUAUUUCCCCAUGCAUCUGCCAAAAACUGGUCUCCCCAAGUCCCUUGGGAAUCAGUUUUCUCGGGUAAAAAUUCCAGGCCUUCAAUUUUUGUCCUUACUGGACCAAUAGCCAUGUCUAGAGCUCUUUUGAUGUUCAAAAAGGCUUGAUUUCUUUAAAAACAUGAAUAUGCCCCAGUGUUAAAUAAAAAAGAUCCUGUAUGCAAAUGCCAAAAGGAUCCAGGAUGCAAAUGCCAAAAGGUGAUGCUAGGGAAGGACUUCAAAACACGGAAAUUACACUGCACUCCAGGUACAUUCACUAUUUCCAGAACAAAAGAUCAUAUCUGCACACAUAUGCAGAAAAUCCCUGAAAAUCCCCCACUUCCUAUUGCUCCCACACAAUGUUUUAGCAGCCCCAAAGCCAUGAGUCUGACAGCUCCAUCUGACACCAUCAAUACAGGCAUAAAAGAAUUUAUACCGACACUGCUGGUGAAGGGGAUUGACAAAUAGCAGCUCUUCAGCUGCUAAAACAAGAACUGAAAAGAGCUUGAUUUAAAUAGAUUUCUAUCACAGGCAAUUGAAAGAAAUCAAGGAUUCUGAACAACAAGAAUGACUCUUUUAAAGCAACAAUUAGAAGUCAGGCUAAGCUUUAGCUGUCUAAAAGUUAGUGCCUUAUCUGAAUUAUUAUCAUUUCUUUAUGCUAUAUCUAUAGAUAGGACUACAUAGCAAGGAAACUUGCUCCAAAUGACAAGUCAAACUCUCCCUAUGAUAGCCGUUUUCUUGGAAAUUAAUGGAAAAUUAACAGGAGCAUAUCUGUUCUCUUUUCCAGUUUGCUUCAUUCAUUGAAAAAAAAAAAAAAAGAAAGAAAACCUUGAUGGCAUUAAAUAAUUCCUAAAAUACAUAAGAAAAUAACAGAAUUGUAUCCUAUUAAAACAUUCCUUAAAAGACUGCUCAAAAAAACUAUAGGAUAAACUAUAGGUUUAUCAGAAGGAUAAAGUUCAGACAAAACCCACAUAAUUAUAAUUUGUCUUGUUGCUAAAAGAAUCAUCUGACAUCAGGAGUUUUAAUUUGAAAGGAAGAUUACCCUUGGCUACUAAAGGAAAAAAAUUUAUCACUAGAAGCCCACUGCUGGAGCAAUGUUUAUAAUACCUUCACCCCUAAAUGGGUUCCCUUGAGCAAUGCUACAGAGCAGCUGGCUUCCCAGAAAUAUGAUGGCACCUUCUACCAUUUAAUUGGGCCCCUGAACUUGGUGGAACUUUCAGGAGAGGUUGUCCAGGUGCAGGUUAUUUGCACUCUAGGAUCUACAUAGUUAUACACAGCAUUAGGUUUUCCUACAUAGGUUUUUAUUUCUAAUUACUCUCUUCUCCUUGAUAGAUAUUUGCAACUCUUCAUUAGAGCAAUUUUGUAACAAGCCACAUUACUGAGUGUAAAUCAUCACACAAAAUCAGAAACCUGGUUACUUCACACUAGAAUAAAUUAUUUUGCUCAACAGUUAGGCUAACACGUUAUGAUUCUAAGCACUUCAAUUUUUUUCCAUCUUUCAAAACUAUGGCAGCGAAAAAAUGUCUGAAAAUAAGUAUUUUCUUUGAUAUAGAGGGUCCUUUCACCAGACAGUGACAAAUGUCUCAAAGGAUGCAACAUACAGAUCACCUCAACACGAGGGAGGUUCAAGGAUCUUUUGCUUUGCUUGCAUUCACCAAAGAGAUUUUAAGAUAAAUGUAUACCUUAAAAAAUUGCCUUAUGCUGUCUCUAUGUAUUCACAUUUGUAGCAAUAGAAUUGCUGCCAUGCACAUCUUAAAAAACGUUUGCUGACUAACACAAAAAUACAGAAUCUGGAGUCACAGUGUGUUCAUGCAGAAAACGGACUACCUCAGGUGACAGCAGAAAAGCCACCACACCUGGAAAUAAAAUAAAUAUUGUGAUAGCCUGUACACUUACCAUUAGAGAUAAAUACCAGUUUUUAUGCCUGUAUGGAAAAAAAAAAAAAAACAAAAAAAACACCUACAUUCAUCACAGCAGUGGGUGCAGUUCAAUUUGCAGUUACACAAUUUUAAAUUAAGACUUGCUUUUCUAAAGCCAGUGCAAUUCUGCUGACGAAGUGACCUGAAAGAGGAGUUCAGCUGAUUUCUCAACUGGUCUGCCAGUCAUCUCCCAGGUGCCAAGCAGGAACAAAGAAAUCAGUCAGCCUCCUGGGGUGAUGGGGAUGUGGCACAGCCUGGGUGAGGAUGGCACACUGCACGAGCCAGGCAUCCCUCCUCCAGGCUGCUGGGACACCCAGGUGGGUGACCUCGGGCCCCCAUGUCUCCUUCAGCAUUGGGAAGCUUUGGGUAUUUAUACAAGACACUUCCUGCACCACUGUGGCUGGACCUCCUCUCCCCAGCACCAACCUCUCAUAAGCUCUUUUCUGGGAUCAUACAAGGGAUCCUGGAUACACUGAUCAGGUUUACAGGCUGUCUGCACUUCUGCAGGAAUGACUUGGUAAGCUAUUUUUAUUGCCUUUAUAUAACAAUAACCAAGUGCUGAACUCUGACUGACAGACUAUUCAAGGUUUUUCUGUCUGCGUUUUCAGUGCCCACACCAGAUCAGAUUCCUCUUUCUCACUCAUCUUUUACGCCUUGGAUUUAUCAUUUCUAGACUCUUUCCCCAAAAAACUCACUAGCAUUUCUUUCUUGACCCAACUCCAUCUAUCAGCAAAUCCCCUAACCACUUCUCCACGUUGGUGCUUUUUCUUCUGAAACCAAUGGGAAUUAUUAGCUGAAGAUACAUUUCAUGCCCUCUUUGCCCCAGUCAAUACAUUUAAAAAAUUAAAUCAGGCAUCCACCUCAUUACAGCCCAUCCUCUCUAAGGAACUGCAAGCGUACCUCGAGUGCUACAGCCAGCUCUGGGCGCCAGCAAUAAUAGGAAUACAACAGGAAUAACAGCAGGAAUGACAAGGGGCUGCUGGAGCGAGUCCAGAGGAGGCCACCACAACGAUCAGAAGAUGAAGCACCUCUCCUACAAGGAAAGGCUGAGAGAACUGGGUUUGUUCAGCCUGGAGAAGAGGCUCUGGGCCUCAUUGUGGCCUUCUAGAACUUGAAGGGAGCCUUCAAGAAAGACAGAGAGAGACUUUUUACAAGGGUAGUGGCAAGGGGGAAUGGAUUCAGACUAAAAGACAGUAGGUCUAGUUUAUAUAUUAGGAAUUAGGAAGAAAUUCAUUACUCUGAGAGUGAUGAAGCACUAGAACAGGUUGUCCAGAGAAGUUGUGGAUCCCUGGAAGUGUUCAAGGCCAGGCUGGAUACUCACUAGGGAUAUAUGAUUUGGCAUUACAUAUAUUGAUACAUUAUGAAAAUUACUUCAGAGUCAUGAUGAUGACAGAGAAAACACAUUAAGCUUUGGAAAAAUAAAUAUGUAUCUGUAAUAAUCCUAGUUAUAAACCAUUUAACAUAUAUCACUACCUACACAGGUACUAAGCAAGUAUCACCUUCUGUAAUUCCACCAAACAGGUAUCAGUGUCAGAUUUCUUUCUACUAAUAAGUUUAGUGCUAAGCAUCUUUUUGAUCUUAGCAUAUAAACUGUGUGUGACCCUUGUACAAAUCAAACACAUAUUCACAGAAGUAUUCAACAAUAGUGUUUGUUUACAGUACAAAAUAAAUUCAGUUAAAUCGUAAAGCUUAAAUGUUUGCGAAGUUACUCAGAGGAAAUAAUUUAUCCUAUAUUUUUCAAAAAGUGCUAAAUUUAUGGCUAAAAUAAAUUAAAAUCAAGAGCUUUGUAAGAAAAGUUAAUUUUGAUUAAAAAAAUAUUUUAUGUGAGAGACAACUGGGCAAUUAAAUCUCAAUUUUCAAGAAAACAGGCUCCCUAAUUUUCUGUCUUAUUGACCCAUGAAAAAUGACAGAUCCUAACCGCAAUGAAUCAAAAAUAUGCAGUCUAGAUAAUGCAGGAAAAGAAACAAUCUUAUCUCUAAUGACCAGCAGCACAUUUUUUAAGAUAUAAUAACAACCACACAUAUAAAUUAUUACUUUCUCUAAUUCAUCACACCUAACACCGUGAAGAACAUCAGAGAUGUUCUUCUAUUGCAUUUCCAUUUUCAGGCACCAGAGGAACGAAGCCUUUGUGCAAUGCCUAUCACAUCUGGAAAGGUGGGGCAAAAAGGAUUCUUCCAAACUGAAAAUCAGAAAGCCAGCUAAGUUUUAGAACUUGGUAUCCUAGAUUUCAGCAUGUUAAGUAAGGUGCUAAAGAAUUUACUACAUGGCAUGUGAUUAGUGCCCAGUUUAGAAGUUGUUCACAUAUACCUCUCUGACAAUAUUAAUGAUCCCAGCUGUGUCAAAAGUCUGCAGUUAUAUGGCUUCAGCCUCAAAUUGAAUAAUUCCUUUGGUAAAAGAUAAUCCCAUACUGUUACUUUGGGGAAUUGUAAAAGUCAACAGUAAACGAUCAAUUUUGUCCAUAAUUCUGAAAGCACGAGUCAGGAUUAAACUGUAAUCAUGACUUGUUACUAGAUCAGUACAUGUCUGACUAAUGCCUGGCUGCAGGAGGAUUUAUCACCAGCUCAGUUACAUCCAAUGCCUUCCCACUUAUAUUGCUCCCUGCUGAGCUAAUGGGAUCUCCGUGGAAGUGUAUGGGAAAUUCAGCUGCUGAAGUGACAGAUACACAAGUCUUGGCUGUCCCUUCUUUCUGACAUGGAUUUGUGGGAAGAGAUGGGAUGGAGCUGAGCCACGGGCUGUGGGACAUGCCUGCAGAAGCACAUGGCAGCACAAAGGAGCACGUGGCAGCACAGAACAACACAUGGCAGCACAAGAAGCAUGUGGAAACAAAAUACAGCAGCACAGGACAGCACAAGAAGCACAUGGCAGCACAAAACAGCAUCACAGGCAGCACAAGAAGCACAUGGCAGCUUGUCUCUGCAUGACCUUGGGGGAAGGAGGCAUCCCAGCAGAGCCCUGCAGGAGAGGAUGUCACAACAGAGAUGGACAAGACACUUGUUUCUUCACGCAGAAUAGCUGCACCUUUAUUCACACAGCUCAUUAGCAUUAUUUAUAUCAUUAUCAGAAGGCACUGUGUUUAAAUCUAAUUGGCCAGCAAUUUGUUUAAACUCAGUGCAUUGGUUGGCAAUGGCUAGUGUACAUGUCCAUCCAACUUUUCUCUUUCUAGAUAAGUUUACAUUUUUGUCUCCUGGAAAGUGAAUGUUUCACAUGGGUAGAAUUUUCCACCCCAUAAGUGUGAGCUGUCCUCUCACAAGAAUAGAUUCUUCUGCAAACUGAUUCUCAUUCUUAUAAUUCUUGUCUCACAGGAAUUUACCAGAUUAGCUGUUAGCUUAGCUGAAGUAACAAGGCCUGAUUUGACAAGGCCUUCCUUUUAUAAGGCUUUACCUACAUACAAGAGGAGCCUGCCAGGGACUGACAGACAGGUGAACAACAUGUCAUCACCCCAUGGAAGGACAUGUAGAGUGUGUGUGGCUGACAUGGCAAUGUGGGACAGGUCAUGUACUGAGAAUUCCCACGUAAGGAAACACUGUGCCUUGCAGAACUGUAUAAAACCAGCUCGUUUCUUUGAAUAAAUGAUACAGAUUCCCUGCCAGGCCAAAUCAGUCGUUACAGGUAUUUUUCCUUUUCUUUUGCUUUUUUCUCAAAACGGUUUUCUUUUCUUUUUUUUUUUAGCAUUCGUUCUGGCUUGUAUUCUUCGUCAUAUUCUUUAAUAUGUGUUAAAGAAGGAGUAUUCUCCCUUUUUUUUUUAAGGUGUCCACAUAAUUCCUUGAAGAGAUAUCCUUGUAAUGACUUAAAGAAGAGAAAUUGAGAUGCACUGGGAGGUGGCCAUUCUUCCAGGGGCAGUGAAGCACACACAUUCCCACAAAGGCCCAGAAGAAAAACCAGGAACUACUAGUUUCUUUAUUUAUGUACAGUGCAAGCAACUGUCAAAAAACCUCUGUCAAAGACCAGGCAGGAUUUAGCCUUGAAAAAUAAGGAUACUUAUGGCACCUAUACAGUCUUCUUUGUGUGUUUUGUAUGACUAAGUUGAAUGAAUGAAUGAAUGAAUGAAUGAAUGAAUGAAUGAAUGAAUGAAUGAAUGAGCAGGCAGCUGGAACAAUUUUCUCUGGUACUGCAAUUUGUAUGAUCUGAAUUUUUGUGGACUCUGCACAUUCAAGAAGGCCUGGAAAAAGACAUGCAUUUAGUUAUGAAAACCUCAGUGUUGAAAAUAUAUAUGAAAUAUAUAGCUGCACUGCUGCCUGCUGUAAAUCAGCCUCUCUCUUGUUUGAAGUUAAGCUAUAUUUCAUCCAGCUGCAGAUGAAAAUGACUCAGGGUAGAAAAUGUCCCAGCACAUUGUCUAGAAAGGGCACUAGUAUUGGUGAUCUAGGUCUGAAAUCCUGAAUUAUGAGGACCCAGAGUCACUGUUAGACCCAAUAUUAAAGUAUCCUGAUUCCUGAGUCCCAGCAGUAAAACGAAGUAUACAAGGAUUUUUCCUAUUCCUUGUGAGGUUAACUUGCUACUGAUGCUGCACAUGGAAAUAAUCAGCCCUGCCAUGAUUCCUUAGAUAUCAGGGACUAAGUUUAGGCUUAUUAAAUAUGCUACUGUCUCACUUCAAUACUGAAAGAUAAAGUAUAUAAAACUAUGCAACAGAACAAGGAUUCCUCUGCAGACUGUGGUGAUGACCAUGGGGAAGCAGCUGUGUGCCUGCAGCCCGUGGGGAUCCGUGGGGAUGCAGAGAUCACCCACAGCCUCCAGGGAAAGGACUCCUCUCCCAACAAAAUCAACACACACACACUAACCCAAAAACCCCACCAAAAAAAAAAAAAAAAAAAAAAAAAAAACCAAAUACACACACACACAAAAUAGAUGUCAAGCUCUUAAUUUUGCAAAAAGAUCUAUUAUAUUUUGCAGCAACAGGAAGUCUUGUUUGCCAAAAAAUUUACUUUGGUAAGUAAAGAUACGCUACAGUGCAAAGUAUUUUCAAUUAAUUCUCUAAUAACAUCCUGUGAUGCAACAUUCAUUUUCAGCCAUAUGGAGUGAGGUCACAGAUAUUUUGUAUUGUAUGCUGCUGUAUGCAUAGGCAGCGUAGUGGGCCACUCAUGCUCUCUUAUAAAGAGUACUGGGAUUUAAAGGUAAUUUAUGGAGCUUUGAUAAAACCAGCAUUCCUUUUCAGCUGAAAAAAAAUCAGUUUUGGCUUUUGUAGUCCAGUGUUUCUCAUUAGUUUAUGGUCCCACUGUAACAGAAGUGCAAGAGUUACUGAGAAAAAAAAAAAAAAAAAGAAAUAUCCAUCCUCUCACUUACUGAGUGCUACAUGUUCUGUGGUGUCCAAAGACUGAAACCUAAUUGUGCUUGGAUCUGUAAAAACAUGAAAUGAGAUCACAUUACUGUCAGUAACCUGAAUAGAAGAUUACACCUGGGUCCAUUCUGGGGCAGUUGGCAGAACUGAAUCUUGAGGAGAUUAAAUGAGAUGAAUGUCAAGAGACUGGAGCAAUAAGACAGAGAAUCACUUCCAGAUAUAAGGCAUACAUGGCAAAGGAAUAAAGGAUGAAUAAAGGUUCAAGGUGAAAACUGAUCAAGCUGUUCUGGGCCUUCACACAGAAGGAUAAGGAAUUGAACCUGGCAGUAAAUCUACCAUCAAGUAGGACAUACCCAAAAGAAGCCAGUGAAAUAAUUUGGAGGCAGAAAUAUCAACUC